Molecule: non-coding RNA, 3582 nt
Organism: Equus caballus (horse)
Lineage: Eukaryota; Metazoa; Chordata; Mammalia; Perissodactyla; Equidae
Source: RefSeq, a predicted model, not a curated record
UGUUGCUGUUGCUCCUUGCGUGGCCCCCACUGACACCAUGGGUGUUGGGGGCUUGUUCCUGCCCAGUGGGAAUGAACAUCCUGGCUCUCUACUUGGCCCUCUCUCACACCCCCUGACAGAGGCUCGGCCUCCUCAUUACAACCAGAGAAUAAAAUGGAAGAUUAGAGAAGAGAGAUUCUGUCUCAGGCCUUACAGCUUGGAAGAGUGGAGCUGGGCUGAUGGCAGCACCCAGCACCUGCACAGGUGCUUAGAAAAGGAAGAAAGAGUACAAACGUUAGCACACUACCAAAGGGGUGGAUCCAACACGAAACCUUGUGCAUGGUGGAGGGAAAAAGAAGGACACAAUGCUGACUGUGUGUGUAUGUGUGUGAGAGAGAGAGCACGAGCUGGUCAGCAGCAGGAGGCACAGGCCUGCUCGGACUCUUGGCCCCAGGGCCCUGCUCCUGGAUGCACGCAGCCUGGUGCUGCCCACACCCAACACUUCCAACCCAGCGCUUCCUCAGCCAAGGGAAAGGUGGGGGUGGGAAAGUGUCACUUCUCAUUUCCUUUCACCAGCUCAAGAAGAAACAGAGCUCGGUUUUCUGAGAGGCUCAUAAUUAAAUGAAUUAAAAUGUUUUCCUUCACGGUGACUUUGCCAACUCCCGUCCACCUCUCCCUGGCCCCGUUCCCAGCAAGCAGCAGAGCCUGGGAGGACGCAGAAUGACAUGCUGUGUGCCUCCAGAGCAAUUAGCUUGUGCAUCGUCAUUUUGGGGAGAGAUUUAUGGCUGGCUUUAGGAGCAUUCCAGCCCAGACCUCUGCGGCCCAGAUUCGUCUGCUGAGGAAGUUCCUGGAAGCGGAGCCUCAAUAUUAAUUCCAAUUACAGUCAGAUGAGAGCCCAUUCAUAAGGAUUGCCUUCGACAGGCUCCUCUCCCGAUGCUCUGGGCUGACCUUGAGCCACCAUCACUGCCGCCAGCCUCUGAGAGAGAGGAAACGGUGCUGGGCUCAGCCGUGGGCUUCCCGGCAAGCCGAGGAGGCAGGCCGUGGACUGCUGGACAUUGAGGGGGAGAGCAGAGGAAGCUGCAGAGGAGGAAUAUGAAGGCCGUGACAUCCCAGCAUCUUUAGUGAGGGGACUCUCCCCAGUACCCUCCCUAGAUUCUUCUGAAAAGGUGGCAAUGCAGAGGGCACUGCCCAUGGUCUGAGAUCUCCCAGGCCCUGGGGCCACCCUUUGCCCUGGUUUCUGAAAUAGACGCCCUAGUCUCAGAGCAGGGGCUCAAGUCCUUGAUGGACUAAGGAGGCACUGCAGCCACAGCUUCCAGAGGGUCCCAGGCGAGCUCUGGGGCCACAGCCUCCUGUCUGUUCAUCAGUGUCCGCUCAGCCAAGCUGUGCCCCUGAGGUGUCUUGGGUGAGCUGGGCUGUCAGCGACCAAUGCACACUCAUUAGCACGUCUGCAGAUGGAUGUUCCUCACGGCACAAGACCCCGAGGACUAAAUAUAAACCCAAGGAAGCAAUUACCCGAGUAUUGAUUAUGGAUUAGGCUAACAACAUUACUAAUUACAUCUAAAGAUGUGUAUCCACUGCACCAGCCUGUUAAUAGCCUGCAUGAGGUAUUAAGGCACUAAUUAGGAAAAACAGCAGGAUUAUCAUCAGCUGUAAUUACAGGUCCCUGGAGAAUGAAGAUGGCCAAGGUGUGCAGCCUUGCUUUCCAUGACUCCAGCUUUCCAAGGACCCUCUUGGUAGAGGCCUUGAGGGCCACGUCCGUCACCCAAGACUGGAUAUUUCCAUCUGUCUGACAGAUGCUCUUUCAACUCCUGGCACCCUUCUUGUGUGGGCCGAGGUGGGCACACCCAUGCCGAAUGGCCACAGGGCACUGUGAAGGAGACGCAGACCUGUGUGGACUGGGGACAAGACGGCCCUGAGAGGACCACACUGGGGAUUGUAAACAACCUGAGAAGCCCCAAGCUCCUUCCAGAGAGGAACGAGAGGUUCUUAUAAAGCAUCUGAUCUAGAUCCUUCCUUCAGACACAGAGAGGCGGAGUGAGCGUCCGGGUCAGCGAGCAAGUGGUGAUGAGUGGCAGGGGGCCUAGCCCUGGUGUCCUGAGGGUGGCCUUCCUCCUUUGAAAUGGUGGUGGCUCACAAUGGUCAGGGACUGGUCCCCUUCCCACAGGACAGGAAGGUGGGGGAAUUUCUGGGUCCCUCCAUCUAUGGGGUUUCCUCCACCUCUGCUGCGACCACCUCUCCCCUUCCCAUCCUUGCCGCUACCUACGCCUUACUGGCCUUUUGGUUUACACUUAGAGUCACUCCUGGAAGCCUCCCCUCAUUCCGCUGACUGGGCAGGGCCCCUCUCUGGGCUCGCACAGGGCCCCCUCGGACAUACCGUGGUAGAAAGUUGAUGUCCAUCUUCCUCUCCCCACACCAUGAGCUCAGUAAACAGUGACUAAACGGAUCUGAUCGAAUAAGAGUGAGGGAACCAAUCAUGGUUCUACUUAUUUAUUUAUUUCGUUUUUAAACAAUUCUUGAGGUUUCUGUAUAUUUUUAAUAUUGUAGGAUCCUACUUUUGAAUACAACAUUUCCUCAUUAUAUUUUCUUUUAAGCUACUGAAUUUUAAUUACUCAAGGAACACAGGAAUACAUUUUUUGCUAAGAACUCAGACUUUAUAGAUAAAGUUAAAUCUGCCCUUUGCCACUAUCCAUAACCUCAGAGGGGGCACAGGCAUAGGUUCGUGUGGAUGCUUCUAGUCCUUUUUAAGCAUUUGAGUAAAUACAUUUGUACCCACAGAUAUAUAGAAUGUUACUUUGUGUGCCUGUGUGUGUAUGUGUGUGUGUUGCCCAUGUUGCCUGUGUCGCCCAUCCCAUGUGCAGAAGCAGAGCAUGACAAACCUGGUGGGAGGACAAUCUAACCUUGUCAUGGAUGGUUUUAUUGACCCUUUUGAUAAAAAAUGAGGAAUGAUAAUACUGGACUAUCUUUAACUAUCACACGACGGUUACUUAUGUUCUCCAUUGACACAGCUGACUUAGGGACUACUACACCACACUGCCAACUGGCACCAUUCCCCCUCUGGGACAUGCAUUGGGACGUCGGGGAGACCACUGGGGGCACUAGGGUCACAGGUCCCUGACUCUCCCUACCACCUCCUCCCCCUACUUUUGUCUCUGCCUAUUGUAGGCCAGGACCCAAGUCUUAUUCCUUCCUGUACUGGCACCUAAACAGGCCUGGUGUACCCCGUAGGAGCUCAAUGAAUCCUUGUCAAGGACAUGGAAUGAAUCCAAGGAGAGCUGUGUGAGAACAAGCAGCAUCCAGCCAGCAGCACCAGUCAGAACCCCGGCGCACUCCAACGGGGGCAUCUGAUGGUCAAGAGUCUAUUUAUAAAGGUGUGGGAGGGGGCUAAGGAGACCAAAAAGAGCAGAGAGCAGUGACCUUUUGAGGUGUAAAGGAACAAGGGCAAGGUGUGGGCAUUGCCCUGGAAAUGGGACUUGACAGAGAAGCUGGGCGUUGGUAGAGGGUGCUGCCACCCAUGGCAAACUGGCCGUGGAGGAAAUGGGAGAAGAGAGGCUCCUAGGUCACUGUCUCUGACCUCUCAGGUGGCCCCAGCAACAGAAGCAUACC